This is a long non-coding RNA of Nicotiana attenuata, 253 nucleotides long. RefSeq lists it as uncharacterized. NCBI's taxonomy places the organism in Eukaryota, Viridiplantae, Streptophyta, Magnoliopsida, Solanales, Solanaceae. The record is from RefSeq and is a predicted model, not a curated record. The transcript is spliced from 2 exons.
GGGCGUUAUAACUCUGUAAAAUGCCUGUACAUACGUCUUAUCCUACUAUGUAAAUACGUGUUUGAAGAUCGCCAGCUUCUGCUUGACAGAAAACAUGGACAACACAGUUCACUUUGUGUAACUUACUGGCAUGUACAUAUAUAUUUUUGUUAGCCGGUAAAACAUAUUGGUGUUGUAGCUGAUGUAAAUAGUGGGUUGAAAGAUUGACAGUAAAUAUGACCUCCUUUUUGGCUUGAAUUUGUUUUCUUCACUC